This 710-nucleotide ribosomal RNA is filed under the name uncultured bacterium. RNAcentral describes it as "bacterial SSU rRNA". It matches the Rfam family "Bacterial small subunit ribosomal RNA", at positions 48 to 724 of the family's 1533-position model. The record is from RNAcentral.
CUAAUACAUGCAAGUCGAGCGCGGGAAGCCGGACAGAUCCCUCCGGGGUGACGACCGGUGGAACGAGCGGCGGAUGGGUGAGUAACACGUGGGCAACCUGCCUGUAAGCCUGGGAUAACUCGCGGAAACGCGAGCUAAUACCGGAUGCGCCUUUUGUUCGCAUGAACGAAAGGUAAAAGGCGGCUUUUGCUGUCACUUACAGAUGGGCCCGCGGCGCAUUAGCUAGUUGGUGAGGUAACGGCUCACCAAAGCGACGAUGCGUAGCCGACCUGAGAGGGUGAUCGGCCACACUGGGACUGAGACACGGCCCAGACUCCUACGGGAGGCAGCAGUAGGGAAUCUUCCGCAAUGGACGAAAGUCUGACGGAGCGACGCCGCGUGAGUGAUGAAGGUCUUCGGAUCGUAAAACUCUGUUGUUAGGGAAGAAUAAGUAUAAGGCGAAUAACCUUAUACCUUGACGGUACCUAACCAGAAAGCCCCGGCUAACUACGUGCCAGCAGCCGCGGUAAUACGUAGGGGGCGAGCGUUGUCCGGAAUUAUUGGGCGUAAAGGGUGCGUAGGCGGUCUCUUAAGUCUGAUGUGAAAGCCCACGGCUUAACCGUGGAGGGUCAUUGGAAACUGGGAGACUUGAGUGCAGAAGAGGAGAGUGGAAUUCCAUGUGUAGCGGUGAAAUGCGUAGAGAUAUGGAGGAACACCAGUGGCGAAGGCGA